RNAcentral lists this ribosomal RNA (476 nucleotides) under uncultured organism. RNAcentral describes it as "partial 16S ribosomal RNA". It matches the Rfam family "Bacterial small subunit ribosomal RNA", at positions 330 to 797 of the family's 1533-position model. The record is from RNAcentral.
CGUACACUCCUACGGGAGGCAGCAGUGGGGAAUAUUGCACAAUGGGCGCAAGCCUGAUGCAGCCAUGCCGCGUGUAUGAAGAAGGCCUUCGGGUUGUAAAGUACUUUCAGCGGGGAGGAAGGCAAUACGGUUAAUAACCGUGUUGAUUGACGUUACCCGCAGAAGAAGCACCGGCUAACUCCGUGCCAGCAGCCGCGGUAAUACGGAGGGUGCAAGCGUUAAUCGGAAUUACUGGGCGUAAAGCGCACGCAGGCGGUCUGUCAAGUCGGAUGUGAAAUCCCCGGGCUCAACCUGGGAACUGCAUUCGAAACUGGCAGGCUUGAGUCUUGUAGAGGGGGGUAGAAUUCCAGGUGUAGCGGUGAAAUGCGUAGAGAUCUGGAGGAAUACCGGUGGCGAAGGCGGCCCCCUGGACAAAGACUGACGCUCAGGUGCGAAAGCGUGGGGAGCAAACAGGAUUAGAAACCCUAGUAGUCCCA